This 76-nucleotide transfer RNA is filed under the name Desulfovibrio sp. RNAcentral's name for it is "tRNA-Thr". It matches the Rfam family "tRNA". From Rfam's summary of the family: Transfer RNA (tRNA) molecules are approximately 80 nucleotides in length. Their secondary structure includes four short double-helical elements and three loops (D, anti-codon, and T loops). Further hydrogen bonds mediate the characteristic L-shaped molecular structure. tRNAs have two regions of fundamental functional importance: the anti-codon, which is responsible for specific mRNA codon recognition, and the 3' end, to which the tRNAs corresponding amino acid is attached (by aminoacyl-tRNA synthetases). tRNAs cope with the degeneracy of the genetic code in two manners: having more than one tRNA (with a specific anti-codon) for a particular amino acid; and 'wobble' base-pairing, i.e. permitting non-standard base-pairing at the 3rd anti-codon position. Lineage: Bacteria; Pseudomonadati; Thermodesulfobacteriota; Desulfovibrionia; Desulfovibrionales; Desulfovibrionaceae. The record is from RNAcentral. RNAcentral also lists the same sequence under 5 other names.
GCCGCCUUGGCUCAGCUGGUAGAGCGGCUGAUUCGUAAUCAGCAGAUCGUCAGUUCAAAUCUGACAGGCGGCUCCA